This 476-nucleotide ribosomal RNA is filed under the name uncultured Thiobacillus sp. Its description in RNAcentral is "bacterial SSU rRNA". It matches the Rfam family "Bacterial small subunit ribosomal RNA", at positions 903 to 1382 of the family's 1533-position model. The record is from RNAcentral. Lineage: Bacteria; Pseudomonadati; Pseudomonadota; Betaproteobacteria; Nitrosomonadales; Thiobacillaceae.
AAAAGGAAUUGACGGGGACCCGCACAAGCGGUGGAUGAUGUGGAUUAAUUCGAUGCAACGCGAAGAACCUUACCUACCCUUGACAUGUCCGGAACUUGCCAGAGAUGGCUUGGUGCCCGAAAGGGAAUCGGAACACAGGUGCUGCAUGGCUGUCGUCAGCUCGUGUCGUGAGAUGUUGGGUUAAGUCCCGCAACGAGCGCAACCCUUAUCAUUAGUUGCUACGCAAGGGCACUCUAAUGAGACUGCCGGUGACAAACCGGAGGAAGGUGGGGAUGACGUCAAGUCCUCAUGGCCCUUAUGGGUAGGGCUUCACACGUCAUACAAUGGUUGGUACAACGAGUUGCGAGUCGGUGACGGCGAGCUAAUCUCUUAAAGCCAAUCUCAGUUCGGAUUGUAGGCUGCAACUCGCCUACAUGAAGUCGGAAUCGCUAGUAAUCGCGGAUCAGCACGCCGCGGUGAAUACGUUCCCGGGCCUU